GACGACCUGUCCGAGUGGUUAAGGAGUGUACCUAGAAAUCACAUAUAGGCUUUGCCUGCGUAGGUUCGAAUCCUGCGGUCGUCU
Non-coding RNA from Endogone sp. FLAS-F59071, 84 nucleotides. The record is from the annotation of a GenBank genome assembly. Lineage: Eukaryota; Fungi; Mucoromycota; Endogonomycetes; Endogonales; Endogonaceae.